RNAcentral lists this ribosomal RNA (481 nucleotides) under uncultured bacterium. RNAcentral's name for it is "bacterial SSU rRNA". It matches the Rfam family "Archaeal small subunit ribosomal RNA", at positions 745 to 1232 of the family's 1478-position model. The record is from RNAcentral.
UCCCAGCUGUAAACGAUGCAGGCUAGGUGUUGGCGCGGCUACGUGCCGCCCCAGUGCCGCAGGGAAGCCGUUAAGCCUGCCGCCUGGGAAGUACGGCCGCAAGGCUGAAACUUAAAGGAAUUGGCGGGGGAGCACCACAAGGGGUGAAGCUUGCGGUUUAAUUGGAGUCAACGCCGGAAAUCUCACCGGGGGCGACAGCAGAAUGAAGGUCAGAUUGAAGGUCUUACCAGACAAGCUGAGAGGAGGUGCAUGGCCGUCGCCAGUUCGUGCCGUGAGGUGUCCUGUUAAGUCAGGCAACGAUCGAGACCCGCGUCCCCUGUUGCUCGGCCUUCGGGCAUAGGACACUGGGGAGACUGCCGCCGAGAAGGCGGAGGAAGGAGCGGGCCACGGCAGGUCAGUAUGCCCCGAAUCCCCCGGGCCACACGCGAGCUGCAAUGGCAGGUACAGAGGGUACCAACCCCGAAAGGGGAAGGAAAUCCCG